CCUACGGGAGGCAGCAGUGAGGAAUAUUGGUCAAUGGCCGCAAGGCUGAACCAGCCAAGUCGCGUGAAGGAAGAAGGACCUAUGGUUUGUAAACUUCUUUUAUAGGGGAAUAAAGGUAUCCACGUGUGGAUUUUUGCAUGUACGCUAUGAAUAAGCAUCGGCUAACUCCGUGCCAGCAGCCGCGGUAAUACGGAGGAUGCGAGCGUUAUCCGGAUUGAUUGGGUUUAAAGGGCGCGUAGGUGGUUUGUUAAGUCAGCUGUGAAAGUUUGUGGCUCAACCAUAAAAUUGCAGUUGAUACUGGCAGUCUUGAGUGUGGUAGAGGUAGGUGGAAUGCGAGGUGUAGCGGUGAAAUGCGUAGAUAUCACGAAGAACUCCGAUUGCGAAGGUAGCUUACUAAGCCAUAACUGACACUGAAGCACGAAAGCGUGGGGAUCAAACAGGAUUAGAUACCCGGGUAGUC
This 460-nucleotide ribosomal RNA is filed under the name uncultured bacterium. Its description in RNAcentral is "partial 16S ribosomal RNA". It matches the Rfam family "Bacterial small subunit ribosomal RNA", at positions 338 to 795 of the family's 1533-position model. The record is from RNAcentral.